GACGAACGCUGGCGGCGUGGAUUAGGCAUGCAAGUCGAACGGUAUCAUCCUUUCGGGGGUGAGAGAGUGGCGAACUGGUGAGUAACACGUAGGUUAUCUACCCUCAAGACGGGGACAACCCAGGGAAACUUGGGCUAAUACCGGAUGUGAGCAACUUUUAGUUGUUUGAAAGGUGGCGUAAGCUGUCGCUUGGGGAUGAGCCUGCGUCCUAUUAGUUAGUUGGUGAGGUAACGGCUCACCUAGGCAAUGAUAGGUAGGCGGCCUUAACGGGUGGUCGCCCACACUGGGAUUGAGAUACGGCCCAGACUCCUACGGGAGGCAGCAGUCGAGAAUAGUCUACAAUGGUCGGAAGACUGAUAGUGCGACGCCGCGUGAACGAUGAAUCCCUUCGGGGUGUAAGUUCUUUUAUAUGUGAGCAGUGCUUCUUAUAUUAACAGUAUGGGGAGAGAGAUAUUAGCAUAUGAAUAAGCAACGGCUAACUCCGUGCCCAGCAGCCGCGGUAAACUCG
This 508-nucleotide ribosomal RNA is filed under the name uncultured bacterium. RNAcentral describes it as "bacterial SSU rRNA". It matches the Rfam family "Bacterial small subunit ribosomal RNA", at positions 28 to 527 of the family's 1533-position model. The record is from RNAcentral.